RNAcentral lists this ribosomal RNA (484 nucleotides) under uncultured bacterium. RNAcentral describes it as "bacterial SSU rRNA". It matches the Rfam family "Bacterial small subunit ribosomal RNA", at positions 15 to 507 of the family's 1533-position model. The record is from RNAcentral.
GAUCCUGGCUCAGAUUGAACGCUGGCGGCAUGCCUUACACAUGCAAGUCGAACGGCAGCAUGGAGGAGCUUGCUCCUCUGAUGGCGAGUGGCGAACGGGUGAGUAAAGCAUCGGAACGUACCGUGUAGUGGGGGAUAACUGCGGGAAACUGUAGCUAAUACCGGAUACUUUCCCUGGUGGGCAUCCACUGGGGAAGAAAGAAUUUCGGUCAAGGAUGAUCUCGCGGCCUAUCAGCUAGUUGGUGAGGUAAUGGCUCACCAAGGCGACGACGGGUAGCCGGCCUGAGAGGGUGACCGGCCACACUGGAACUGAGACACGGUCCAGACUCCUACGGGAGGCAGCAGUGGGGAAUAUUGCACAAUGGGCGCAAGCCUGAUGCAGCAACGCCGCGUGAGGGAUGAAGGCCUUCGGGUUGUAAACCUCUUUUAGCAGGGAAGAAGCGAAAGUGACGGUACCUGCAGAAAAAGCACCGGCUAACUACGUG